This 212-nucleotide long non-coding RNA is filed under the name Elaeis guineensis (African oil palm). Its description in RNAcentral is "long non-coding RNA (EGUI_LNC028863)". The record is from RNAcentral. Lineage: Eukaryota; Viridiplantae; Streptophyta; Magnoliopsida; Arecales; Arecaceae.
AGGAGUUACGAAAGGAGAGGAAGGCCUAGGAGUAUUACCGUCUUGCAUGAAAAGCCGACUAUAGCAUCCAAAAUUUGAUACAUCUUUCUUUUCGAUAUAUAAUUUAAAAAAUCGAUAUUUUAAAUAUUUCAAUGAAAAUGUCAGCAUUUCUUGGACAUCUUCAUCGUCAUCAAUUGAAAUUAAGAUAUACUUGCUCUGCAUUAAUUGUCCCG